RNAcentral lists this long non-coding RNA (755 nucleotides) under Mus spicilegus (steppe mouse). RNAcentral's name for it is "lncRNA (ENSMSIG00000029385.1)". The record is from RNAcentral. Lineage: Eukaryota; Metazoa; Chordata; Mammalia; Rodentia; Muridae.
CUGGUUCUUAUUCUCUUUUCUGCCUCCUCUUCCACAAGGUUUCCCUAACCCUAUGGAAAGGAAUUUGAGAGAAUUUUCCCAUUUUGGCUGAGUGUUCCAAGGUCUCUCAGUGUCUGUGUCAUGUUUGGCUGUCUCUCUGUAGGUCUCUGUAGGUGUUAGCAUCUCUCUUCUGCAGGAGGAAAUUUCUUUGAUGAUGGCUAAGCAAGGCCCUGAUCUAUGAGUAGAACAGAAGGUCAUUAAGAGUCCUUUUAUUGCUACAUGGUUUUAGUAGAAUCAUAGUAUUUGGUUUUACCCUAGGACCCUGGGCUAUCUAGUUUCAGAUUCUUGGUUAACUAACUCUUAUAACAUUAGCCCAGGAUCCAAAUAAGAACUGGUGGUAUGACCUGGAUGAGGAGGAAGAUGUGUCCCCCUGUCUUAUGAGCAGCAGAGAGUGUUUCUCUGACCAGCCCUUAGUCUCCUUGGAGCCUUGCCUUGGGGAUUAGCCAGCUCUUCCUGAAGGAUCUCCGCAUCUCCUUCCAGCCAGUGAUUGAUUAUACAUCUUCAUUGCCUAGGCAAUUCAUGCACAGAAUGUAGGAUGGACUCAGCAGUCAAGCUAUAGGUUUAUCACACAAGAGCUGGUAUACUCAAAGGAGCAGUGUAUCAAGAGGGCAUUUUACAAAGGGUCAUGUUGUAACCAAAGACAAUCUGCAUCUCUAUGCCUGAAGACAAAGGGAGGAGGUGAUGGAGGGUGGGUGUCUGGGAGCUGGUAUAUAGUA